CUGUAGCUUUGGAGACUGUCCUGGACUAGCUCUGUAGACCAGGCUGGCCUCAAACUUGCAGAGAUCCGCCUGCCUCUGCCUCCCGAGUGCUGGGAUUAAAGGCGUGCUAUCACUGCCCGGCCAAAGCAUUUCUUAAAAUGAAAUAAA
Non-coding RNA from Peromyscus maniculatus bairdii (prairie deer mouse), 147 nucleotides. The record is from RefSeq and is a predicted model, not a curated record. Lineage: Eukaryota; Metazoa; Chordata; Mammalia; Rodentia; Cricetidae.